GCCUGGGUGGCUCAGUCGGUUAAGCGUCUGACUUCGGCUCAGGUCACGAUCCCGCAGUUUGUGAGUUCGAGCCCCGCGUCAGGCU
RNAcentral lists this transfer RNA (85 nucleotides) under Felis catus (domestic cat). It matches the Rfam family "tRNA". From Rfam's summary of the family: Transfer RNA (tRNA) molecules are approximately 80 nucleotides in length. Their secondary structure includes four short double-helical elements and three loops (D, anti-codon, and T loops). Lineage: Eukaryota; Metazoa; Chordata; Mammalia; Carnivora; Felidae. The record is from Rfam by way of RNAcentral.